Saccoglossus kowalevskii is the source of this 646-nucleotide non-coding RNA. The record is from RefSeq and is a predicted model, not a curated record. Lineage: Eukaryota; Metazoa; Hemichordata; Enteropneusta; Harrimaniidae.
UAUGAUAUUUAUUAACAGGGUAAAUUGGAAGAUGGUACAGAGUUCGACAGCAGUAUACCAAGAGGUCAACCAUUUGUAUUCACAUUAGGGGGUGGACAGGUUAUAAAAGGAUGGGAUCAAGGCUUGAUUGGAAUGUGUGAAGGAGAAAAAAGAAAACUGGUUAUUCCGUCUGAAUUAGGCUAUGGGGAUAAUGGUGCACCACCCAAAAUUCCAGGUGGUGCUACGCUUGUAUUUGAAGUGGAGUUACUCAAGAUUGAGCGAAAGUCUGAGCUUUGAAACUAAAGUAAUGAUUAUAGUUAGUUAGAUAGCAUAUAAAUUCCCCUCCAAUCAAGAUAUAAUAUUGUUGUUUGGGAAACAAAAUACUCUGGGUUAUUUUUUCUUACCUACCGUAUUUGGGCAAAGCUUGAAAUCUGGGCCUGUGCUUGUCCCACUCAAAAUAGGCCAAUGUUAUCAUUUCUCAACAUUUUUGUCAUCGUAUUUUUUUCUAUUUUCAUCAAAUGCUCUUUCAAUAUCGACCCCAGUUAUACAAGUACUUUAACAGAGAGAUUUGUUCUUACUGUACCCAAACUAGACUGAUGUCCCCAUAGCAAAAACAUAUGUAUGUUGAUAAUAAAUAUUGAUAAUAAAUAUUUGUAAAAAUUUACAA